This 492-nucleotide ribosomal RNA is filed under the name uncultured bacterium. Its description in RNAcentral is "partial 16S ribosomal RNA". It matches the Rfam family "Bacterial small subunit ribosomal RNA", at positions 29 to 507 of the family's 1533-position model. The record is from RNAcentral.
AGUGAACGCUGGCGGUAGGCCUAACACAUGCAAGUCGAACGGCAGCACAGUAAGAGCUUGCUCUUACGGGUGGCGAGUGGCGGCCGGGUGAGGAAUACAUCGGAAUCUACUUUUUCGUGGGGGAUAACGUAGGGAAACUUACGCUAAUACCGCAUACGACCUACGGGUGAAAGCAGGGGAUCUUCGGACCUUGCGCGAUUGAAUGAGCCGAUGUCGGAUUAGCUAGUUGGCGGAGUAAAGGCCCACCCAGGCGACGGUCCGUAGCUGGUCUGAGAGGAUGAUCAGCCACACUGGAACUGAGACACGGUCCAGACUCCUACGGGAGGCAGCAGUGGGGAAUAUUGGACAAUGGGCGCAAGCCUGAUCCAGCCAUACCGCGUGGGUGAAGAAGGCCUUCGGGUUGUAAAGCCCUUUUGUUGGGAAAGAAAAGCAGCAGGUUAAUACCCCGCUGUUCUGACGGUACCCAAAGAAUAAGCACCGGCUAACUUCGUG